RNAcentral lists this ribosomal RNA (484 nucleotides) under uncultured bacterium. RNAcentral's name for it is "partial 16S ribosomal RNA". It matches the Rfam family "Bacterial small subunit ribosomal RNA", at positions 30 to 507 of the family's 1533-position model. The record is from RNAcentral.
AUUGAACGCUGGCGGCAGGCCUAACACAUGCAAGUCGAGCGGUAGAGCGAAGCUUGCUUCUCUUGAGAGCGGCGGACGGGUGAGUAAUGCCUAGGAAUCUGCCUGGUAGUGGGGGAUAACGUUCGGAAACGAACGCUAAUACCGCAUACGUCCUACGGGAGAAAGCAGGGGACCUUCGGGCCUUGCGCUAUCAGAUGAGCCUAGGUCGGAUUAGCUAGUUGGUGAGGUAAUGGCUCACCAAGGCGACGAUCCGUAACUGGUCUGAGAGGAUGAUCAGUCACACUGGAACUGAGACACGGUCCAGACUCCUACGGGAGGCAGCAGUGGGGAAUAUUGGACAAUGGGCGAAAGCCUGAUCCAGCCAUGCCGCGUGUGUGAAGAAGGUCUUCGGAUUGUAAAGCACUUUAAGUUGGGAGGAAGGGCAUUAACCUAAUACGUUAGUGUUUUGACGUUACCGACAGAAUAAGCACCGGCUAACUCUGUG